Jaculus jaculus (lesser Egyptian jerboa) is the source of this 1594-nucleotide long non-coding RNA. RefSeq lists it as uncharacterized. The transcript has 4 exons. The record is from RefSeq and is a predicted model, not a curated record. NCBI's taxonomy places the organism in Eukaryota, Metazoa, Chordata, Mammalia, Rodentia, Dipodidae.
CCGAGCCUGGAGACCCGGUUCUGACCGAUGCGCGCCUGGAGCUGAACCGGGUCCUCGCCAGGGUCGGUUCCUGGAUGUCUUCAGCAUACUGGUCCUGUCCUCUCUCAGCAUCCCAUUCCUCUUCCCCCCUCCUUUCUCUGCCUCCCACUCUGCGCGCGGACUGAGAACUUUCUGGGGCUGGUAAGGCUUAAGAGACCGCAAGUUGCUCAACACUAAUUUGGCCAGGCGCUGUGUGUUUGGGGCAGGCGUUUGUGACUCUGUGUUUGUGUGUGUGUGUGUGAACACCUGCGUUCUAGAGGGUUUGUAGUGUCUCUGCGACAAUUGAGGAAGCCGUUUGAUCUGGACGUUAAGCAGCCCUGGAGAGGCCAUCCCAGUGCUCCAAUUCCAGUGGAACCAGGGAGCGGUUCCUGCGCCCCAUACAUGCCCCUGGAACCAACGGGAUUUCUCUGGCUGCAUUUAGCCGAAUAAAUCCAACCGUAGGCAUCCAACUGGAAACGGCUGUUCCCGGCUGGCUGGCGUGUACCGGUUCGCCUCCGCAGAGCGUCCAGCCCCACUGAUGACCCCAGGUCCAGCGGCCUGUCUCUGCGCAUCGGUGCCUGGUAGCACCCACUUGUGCUCCCGUUUCGGAAACCUACCCAGACGAGUCUGCUCGCUGCGAAAACUGAAAGCAAAUUCCGCUGCAGGCAGAACUUUUUUCCUCCACGCAAGUUUGCAACAGAGAUCCGUCCCCGAGGCGGCUUUGGGAGGCCAGCCAGCUAGUGUGGAGCUCACAGCGGGGUCAGAUAUCCAGUACUCCCCGCCCCACACUACCUCCACCCCGCACCUGGUGGCCUAGCCCUGGCCAAGGGAAGAUAGUUCCUCUUUUUCUUAUUUCUGUUUCUUUUCGGUCCCUGAUAGGACCAAGUUUCCAAGCUAUUUCGGAGGAUGCCCAAGGUGAACGCUAGAAGCUGGCACUAAGGGGUAGAGGGAGGUGGCUUUGUAAGAUCUAUGGAAAGCUCUGGCUGGAAUCCUUAGCCCAACGGAGCACAAGGAAGUUUGGGACCCGCUCUCCCUCCCUGGGGAGCAUACUUCUCUGCCUUCACUUUCAACCAGAAGUUAAAUAACCUCCCUGAAUGGCCAUUCUCGGACGAGGCACCCCCUCCCUCCCACCCCCGAAACGGAUGGAGAACCCUUGGCCACUCCUAGGCCACUUGGGCCCGUCCAAGAAACGUUUGCGCGGAGGUGGAAGGACGAAUGUGUGACUCCCACUUCCAACGUGGCUUCUCAGACCUUCAGGGCCAGCGGAUCUUCCAACCGGAGCUUCCCCCCACCCUGGGAAACACGGGUUUGGGGGAGCCCGUGAGGGUGCAAAGUGUGCGCGCGAACUCGCGCGGGGGCGAGCGGGGCCUGUCGCCGGGCCGGCCGCAGCGGGUGAGUGAUGAGGGCAGAGAAGGGCGCCCAUAAAUCGCGAGUGUCAGGGCGAAAAACUCUCUUUAUUGUCUGCGUGAUGGAUGGGCCCAGGGACGAGACACCAAAUACUUCGUAUCGCCUUUAAAUGGGAACACAUUUUCCGCGGCCAUAAUUCAUGUUUUUUAAAUAGAAAGUUUGAAAUGUU